Molecule: long non-coding RNA, 3718 nt
Organism: Nomia melanderi (Alkali bee)
Lineage: Eukaryota; Metazoa; Arthropoda; Insecta; Hymenoptera; Halictidae
Source: RefSeq, a predicted model, not a curated record
UAAAUAUUCCUUAGUUUAUUAUUUGAAUUAUUGUGAUUUAAUUUAAGUCGUAUGUUAGGGAAGAUUGUUCAACGUUCGAUAUUCUUAUUUAAAUUUGUAAGGUCUUAAAGUCUUGUGCAUUUAAAUCAAAUCGCGUAUCCACAGUUCUUUUCAUUUGCAAGUUCUCACUUUUCAAAUGAAUCUCUCCUUGGAAGUCAAGGCGAGCCUCGAGUGGCAUCGGUGAAUAUCCCAAGUCCCUUUAUGGUAAUCACGGGGCACACGCUCACGAAGGCGAACGUUGACAGAAUCUUCUGUCCUUACUACCACACCGAUCGCGGUGCGUUCACACCAGGCUUAUUUCCACGCCGGAAUGAUGCUGAUAAUAAGACCACGCGUCAUCAUCGCAUUUUUGCACUUUUACGUCUGAUGCAGGUGGCUUCAUACGUCACGAACUUGGACGAAGUUGGACGUGCAUGGAGAAACGAGAAAGUGGGGAAAUUCGUAAUCCCAUUCAUUAAUUUCUUGCGUUACUUUUUCUUCGUGAUUUCUUUGUAACGCUAAAACUGCCGAGCAGUUAAACUGACUUUUUGAAAUUCCUUUAUAGAAACUCUAAGAGUGCAUUCAUUGAUGCUUUAACUGAUUUACAAUCCAGUUCGCCUAUUGCUAAAUCAAUUUCUUUAAUAAUUUUUCAAAGAAACAUCUGCUACCUUUUUAAUAAUUGCGAGGGAAAGAAAUCAGAAAUGGGUCAUUUUGACCCGUUUGGUAGUUUUAGUGUUAAUACAGUUACCAGUUUUAUGUACAUAACAAAGGUAUCGUAUUUGUUCUAAGUCCCAAAUACAGCUACUGUUAAACUGUAAUUUAAUUCUUGGCAUCGGACAAAAUCGGAUCAAAAAUAGUUUCAAUUAGAAAGAGACAAUAACAUUGAAAUUACUUUGUUGCUAUGUUUGUAUGAUAGAUGUAAGAAUAUUUUGUGUUCUUCGAGAAGUAAAAAAUCCGAAUGAAAAAUUAUUUUUGGUUACGUAUUAUUGAAAUUCAAAUGCUCGUAAUUAUAUGAUUGCGUGCUGGGGUAAGUCGGGGAGAGAUGGAUCACUUUUUUAAAAAGAACAAAUACAUCAUGAAUAUUAUAUAACGAAACAUAAAAUAUGCGUAUAAGAAUAAAUAUACUUAUAUAAGAAGAUAAAAAAUUAUAUAAAAAAUUGAAAAUAUUUGACCAUCUUAAUAAGAUCGGGCCAUCUAAUCUACAGAGCCAUAUCACUCGGAGUUAUACUAUGCCUAAUCAUCUGAGUAUUAUACUGGUAAUAAAACUAAAUUUCAUAAUUUAUUUUACAAACAAAAUCGAUCAUCCGUUUGUAUUUCUCAAAUUGAAUACUUUGAAGUCUCAAAUGUCAAUGAUUUUCUAAUUAUCCUAAGCACCUAUUACCAUACACUUAUUAUUACAUAGUUAAUUAUAAUCCAUACACUUAGUAUUACAUAAUUAAUUAUAAUCCAUUAAUUAUCAAUAUUAACUUAUUAACUAUUUAUUGUAUAAUUCUUCCAAGCAAUGAAUAACAUUUCAAGCAUCAAGAAAAGGUAAAGAAAUAUCCUUGAAGGAAAUGUAGGUAAACGGUCCUUAUUUGGCAUACUUUUAUUUAAUCUUUUCAAACCCGAAGCACAAUAUAAUGUACACUGUUUUACUAGUUCAGUAUCUAACAGAAUAUUAAGACUGUGAUGAGCAGCCAUAUAUAAUAAUACACCUUUGCUUCGAGCCUAUUUGUAUCAGAAAAGUAGUUUACUAUCUCUAUUUUAUUCGAAAUAAUGUGGUGACUAAUGGUGCAUUGAAUGAGGGUUCAUUGUUAUUAUAUAAGUAAACAUAAUCCUGUAUAAAAAUCAGGUUUUAGUUACUUUCUAAAAACUGUUAAUUUACGUACUAUGGUGGAGGGGGUAAAUGCACCCCAGUUUUUAGUAAGUUUGACUUUCAACCCAUAUAUCUUUAAUUUGUUUUAUAAUACUUAUAAUAAAUACAAAGGAAUUAGUGAAAUAAAGUCCUAAUAUAAAAAGAUUUAAAAUUUAUUUAUAGUAAUGGUACAAUGUUAAAUGUUAAAAAAUGAUAUUAUUGAACAAAUGUAUUAAUCAAAAUAAAUGUAUUAAUAAGAGCCCGUUUAUGCACUUACCCCGCUCCACCUUAUCCGAAAUAAAUUCCAUUCUUCACUCUCUUAACUUUAGAAGUCAUUUUUUAUGCGUCAUUUACAUUGUAUAAUUUCAAAAGUGAUUUGAUAUCUCUUGUAUAUGCACAUUUUUUAUGAUAAAAUAUCAUUACUGAUGGUACGUUGAAUGACGAUUCAUUGUUAUUAGAUAUGUGAACAGAAUUUCGUACAAAAUCAGAUCUGAAGGAGUUCAUCGGUGAUUAUACGUAUUCAGUGAGACUGUUAAAAUGUCGAAAAAACAGGUGCCGCUGUCAUGACAUUCUUUUCUGUUUGUAAUAACCUGUUCAUUGUUAUGUAAGCGAGUAAAAAUGUAUGCUGGUCUCAGUUGAAAACAAAAAACAGUCUCCUUCGUUUGUGAUUCAAAUGCGAGAUCAGAAAAAGUGCUCACCGUUUCAAUUAACGGCAGUUGUUAAUUGGCUGACAAUCCAAAAUUGGUAAACGUUGAAAUCCGACACCAUUGCGAAUUGCGAAAUUCAGAGUGGCGUCCCAGAAACAUGACAAUCAAAAAUUCUGCUUUCGCUGCAUGUCGAAAUGAUGAAAUUCAAUUUACAAAUAGAUAUUUAUCGCAGGACAACGUGAAUUAUCGUUCAAUUAAAUGGCUUCCUAAUUGAUUCUGAUUCUCGUUAGUGGCCGACAAUCAUUGAACUUAGUUAUACGAAUGUAAGUAAGAAGUGAAAUAAUUAGAGGUAACUCCUAAUUGCUUCGUUAGCAUGCUUGCUGGGGCAAUUGGCAAAGUCUUAAAAAUGCCCGUGAAGGAAAUUGUGAGACAGUGAAAUCGCGAUUUAACACAUUUUCCAUGGUUCUUUUAAUCAAUUAUUGAGUGUAUUCAUUCGUGUCAACAAGCUUACUUACGAAAUAACGAAAGACUGUGCGUUAUGGUCGUAACAUUUUAAUUAAACAGCUUUAACUUUUGGGUAGAGAAAUGUCAGGCAACCUAUAUAGAGGUUUACCAGUUUACUGUCCAACAGAAACAACUAACAAAUUUGCACAGCACUUGUUGAUGACACAAUCGCGAUUAAUGCACGAGAAGCGUUCGCCGAAGAUAUGACUACUGAAAUUUUCUGCAAAAUAAUAUAAUAAUGAACCAAUUUUAUUUAUGCGCGUUCAGCUGAAUCAAUUGGAUUUAAUUAAUUUAACAUUCUAACUGAAGAUACUAAAUGAAACAUAAGAAAAUUACAUACUUUAUUGACAUUGGAAACCGUUAAUCACGUUCAAGAUACUAAUCUAAAUUAAGCAAACUAUAUAAAAUUUUGUUUAGUUUUAUUAUACUAUGACUCACUUUUUAAUCUUGAUAUAUGAUUAAAAGUAUUUGUUGAAUAAAUGGCAACAAUAAAUUCUAUGAAGGAAUAUAGGUCAGUAUCAUUCGCAAAUUUAAAUGAGAAUGUCAAAAGAGAAACUCUUGGUGAUCCCUCGUGAAGAAAGUAUACACGUGUGACAGCUACCAAAGGUGACGCAAGUAGAGAAAAAAUGGACAACCGAAUCGAAGAAACGAUGUGUAUGUAACUGACAGAAUGACAUAUGGGUCGAGUCAGCGUUCAAUGAGAGAUGCGGGCUUC